This 484-nucleotide ribosomal RNA is filed under the name uncultured bacterium. RNAcentral describes it as "partial 16S ribosomal RNA". It matches the Rfam family "Bacterial small subunit ribosomal RNA", at positions 28 to 507 of the family's 1533-position model. The record is from RNAcentral.
AUUGAACGCUGGCGGCAUGCUUUACACAUGCAAGUCGAACGGCAGCGCGGGCUUCGGCCUGGCGGCGAGUGGCGAACGGGUGAGUAAUGCAUCGGAACGUGCCCAGUAGUGGGGGAUAGCCCGGCGAAAGCCGGAUUAAUACCGCAUACGACCUGAGGGUGUAAGCGGGGGACCGAAAGGCCUCGCGCUAUUGGAGCGGCCGAUGUCGGAUUAGCUAGUUGGUGGGGUAAAGGCUUACCAAGGCGACGAUCCGUAGCUGGUCUGAGAGGACGACCAGCCACACUGGGACUGAGACACGGCCCAGACUCCUACGGGAGGCAGCAGUGGGGAAUUUUGGACAAAGGGGGCAACCCUGAUCCAGCCAUGCCGCGUGCGGGAAGAAGGCCUUCGGGUUGUAAACCGCUUUUGUUCGGGAAGAAAUCCUCUGGGCUAAUACCCCGGGGGGAUGACGGUACCGGAAGAAUAAGCACCGGCUAACUACGUG